Molecule: ribosomal RNA, 423 nt
Filed under: Triticum aestivum (bread wheat)
Lineage: Eukaryota; Viridiplantae; Streptophyta; Magnoliopsida; Poales; Poaceae
Description: partial small subunit ribosomal RNA
Source: RNAcentral
CUCCAGGAAAUACGUGAUGUCCGAGCCAACUGUGCUGGCCCAUGGAUGCUUUGCGAUGAUUUCAACCUAAUCUAUCACGACGAGGAUAAGAACAACGGAAACCUCAACCGUCGCAUGAUGGGGUGCUUCCGACGGGUCAUCAACGACCUUGCUCUCAAGGAGAUAUACCUAAACGGAUGGCGCUACACUUGGUCAAACGAGCAGACCCCGCCAACUCUGGUUCACCUUGAUCGCGUCCUAUGCACCGCGGAUUGGGAAGAGGAGCAUGGCGAGUGUCACCUACAUUGUCUGGCUUCGGUCAUAUCUGACCACAACCCCCUCCUCCUCGACUGCUCGCCCCUACCCCCAGCACGACGGCGCUUCCACUUCGAGGACUACUGGACACGAAUCGAGGGAUUUCAUGACAUGGUCAUAGACGCGUGG